AUUAGGGAUCGGACAAUCUCAAUUAUUAUGUUUUUUCCGGCACCUUACGAGAAAUCAAAGUCUUUGGUUCUUGUGGUGAAUAUGGUCGCAAGGCUGAACUUAAAGGAAUUGACGGAAGGCACCACCAGUUGUGGAGCCUGCGGCUUAAUUUGACUCAACACGGGGAAACUCACCAGGUCCAGACAUAACUAGGAUUGACAGAUUGAUAGCUCUUUCAUGAUUUUAUGG
RNAcentral lists this ribosomal RNA (228 nucleotides) under uncultured fungus. RNAcentral describes it as "partial 18S ribosomal RNA". It matches the Rfam family "Eukaryotic small subunit ribosomal RNA", at positions 1045 to 1273 of the family's 1831-position model. The record is from RNAcentral. Lineage: Eukaryota; Fungi.